Molecule: non-coding RNA, 74 nt
Organism: Potamilus streckersoni
Lineage: Eukaryota; Metazoa; Mollusca; Bivalvia; Unionida; Unionidae
Source: the annotation of a GenBank genome assembly
GCUUUGGUGGCCCAGUGGUUAGAGCGUCCGCCUCGGAUGCGGAAGGUCGUGGGUUCGAAUCAUCGGUCGAGUCA